GCGUAGGUCCACUAGGGUUCCGUCCACCGUCAAACGUGGGGUCUGGUCCGAGAGUGGUCCGGCCUGAUCGCAGGCUCCACGGAGGGAUAAAAGCCCGGGAGAA
RNAcentral lists this small RNA (103 nucleotides) under Hydrogenophaga sp. RNAcentral's name for it is "Guanidine-I sequence". It matches the Rfam family "Guanidine-I riboswitch aptamer". From Rfam's summary of the family: This family represents a conserved RNA structure found upstream of the ykkC and yxkD genes in Bacillus subtilis and related genes in other bacteria. The function of this family is unclear although it has been suggested that it may function to switch on efflux pumps and detoxification systems in response to harmful environmental molecules. Nelson showed that this riboswitch senses and responds to guanidine and it was renamed Guanidine-I riboswitch. RNAcentral also lists the same sequence under 1 other name. The record is from RNAcentral. Lineage: Bacteria; Pseudomonadati; Pseudomonadota; Betaproteobacteria; Burkholderiales; Comamonadaceae.